AUAGUACUGUGAAGGAAAGGUGAAAAGGACCCCGGGAGGGGAGUGAAAGAGAACCUGAAACCCUGUGUUUACAAGCUGUGGAAGUUCUUUAUACGAACAACCGCGUACUUUUUGUAGAACGGUCCGGCGAGUUGCGGAUACUGGCAAGGUUAAGCACUUAAGGUGCGGAGCCGAAGGGAUACCAAGUCUUAACAGGGCGUUAAGUCAGUGUACGUAGACCCGAAACCGGGUGAUCUACCCAUGUCCAGGCUGAAGUUGCCGUAAAAGGCAAUGGAGGGCCGAACGCACAUCCGUUGAAAAGGGUGGCGAUGAGGUGUGGGUAGGGGAGAAAUUCCAAUCGAACCCGGAGAUAGCUGGUUCUCCUCGAAAUAGCUUUAGGGCUAGCCUCGUGUUAACCUUGUGGAGGUAGAGCACUGAAUAUCCUAGGGGGCGUCAAAGUCUACCGAAGAUUAUCAAACUCCGAAUGCCAUAAAGGUGAUGCACGGGAGUCAGACUGCACGAGAUAAGUUGGGUGGUCAAAAGGGAAAGAGCCCAGACCUACAGCUAAGGUCCCAAAGUGCGUGUUAAGUGGAAAAGGAUGUGGGAUUUCGAAGACAACUAGGAUGUUGGCUCAGAAGCAGCCAUACAUUCAAAGAGUGCGUAAUAGCUCACUAGUCGAGAGGUCCUGCGCCGAAAAUGUCCGGGGCUAAAACACGACACCGAAGCUUAGGACUCCUUAAAGGAGUGGUAGAGGAGCAUUGUUAGCGCAGCGAAGCUGUACCGAUAAGGAGCAGUGGAGUGCUAAGAAGAGAGAAUGCCGGAAUGAGUAGCGAGAGGAAGGUGAGAAUCCUUCCGGCCGAAUAUCCAAGGUUUCCAGAGUAAAGCUGAUCUGCUCUGGGUAAGUCGGGGCCUAAGGCGAGGUCGAAAGACGUAGUCGAUGGAUAACAGGUGGAGAUUCCUGUACUAUGUGUACCCAGAACUGUGGGGACGCAUGUGGAGAGCAUGAGCCGGGAAAGAGAAAACCGGUACAAGCGGGGUAGGAGUAAGGACAGCAAAUCUUCCUUACAAUCCGAAGACGUAAUGUGGACCGAACCAAAGUAGGGAAGCAUGUGAGCCAUGUGCCAAGAAAAGCCGCUAUUGUGAUACACAUACCCGUACCGUAAACCGACACAGGUGGAUGAGGAGAGAAUCCUAAGGCCGACGGAAGAAGCAUUGUUAAGGAACUCGGCAAAAUGACCCCGUAACUUCGGGAGAAGGGGUGCCCUGUGAAAGCAGGGCCGCAGAGAAUAGGCUCAAGCAACUGUUUAGCAAAAACACAGGUCUAUGCGAAACCGAAAGGUGAAGUAUAUGGGCUGACGCCUGCCCGGUGCUGGAAGGUUAAGAGGAGAGGUUAGCGCAAGCGAAGCUUUGAAUUUAAGCCCCAGUAAACGGCGGCCGUAACUAUAACGGUCCUAAGGUAGCGAAAUUCCUUGUCGGGUAAGUUCCGACCCGCACGAAAGGCGUAAUGAUUUGGGCACUGUCUCAACAAUGCACCCGGUGAAAUUGAAAUACCAGUGAAGAUGCUGGUUACCUGCGCCAGGACGGAAAGACCCCAUGGAGCUUUACUCCAGCUUGAUACUGGGAUUCGAUACUGUAUGUACAGGAUAGGUGGGAGACGUUGAUCAUAGAACGCCAGUUUUAUGUGAGUCGCUGUUGGGAUACCACCCUUGCAGUAUUGGAUUUCUAACCUGCACCCAUGACCUGGGUGGGGGACAAUGUCUGGCGGGGAGUUUGACUGGGGCGGAGAUACACCAGUGGUCCGUCCAUCCCGGUCCUCUCGUAC
This 1801-nucleotide ribosomal RNA is filed under the name human gut metagenome. Its description in RNAcentral is "bacterial LSU rRNA". It matches the Rfam family "Bacterial large subunit ribosomal RNA", at positions 495 to 2293 of the family's 2925-position model. The record is from RNAcentral.